UACGGAGGGUGCAAGCGUUGUCCGGAAUCACUGGGCGUAAAGGGCGCGUAGGCGGCUCAGGAAGGCUGUGGUGAAAGUCCGGGGCUCAACCUCGGAUCGGCCGUGGCGACUCGUGGGCUGGAGCACUGUAGAGGCGGGUGGAAUUCCGGGUGUAGCGGUGGAAUGCGUAGAGAUCCGGAAGAACACCAGUGGCGAAGGCGGCCCGCUGGGCAGUGGCUGACGCUGAGGCGCGACAGCGUGGGGAGCAAACAGG
Molecule: ribosomal RNA, 253 nt
Filed under: uncultured bacterium
Lineage: Bacteria
Description: partial 16S ribosomal RNA
Rfam family: Bacterial small subunit ribosomal RNA
Source: RNAcentral